UACGUAGGGUGCAAGCAUUAUCCGGAAUUAUUGGGCGUAAAGAGUUUGUAGGCGGUGAGUUAAGUAGGAGGUUAAAUCUUCGGGCCCAACCCGAAAGCUGUCUCCUAAACUGGCUUACUAGAGGUAUGUAGAGGCAAGUGGAAUUUCCGGUGUAGGGGUAAAAUCCGUUGAGAUCGGAAGGAACGCCAAAAGCGAAGGCAGCUUGCUGGACAUACCUGACGCUGAGAAACGAAAGCGUAGGGAGCAAACAGG
This 252-nucleotide ribosomal RNA is filed under the name uncultured bacterium. RNAcentral's name for it is "partial 16S ribosomal RNA". It matches the Rfam family "Bacterial small subunit ribosomal RNA", at positions 524 to 776 of the family's 1533-position model. The record is from RNAcentral.